This 253-nucleotide ribosomal RNA is filed under the name uncultured bacterium. RNAcentral's name for it is "partial 16S ribosomal RNA". It matches the Rfam family "Bacterial small subunit ribosomal RNA", at positions 524 to 776 of the family's 1533-position model. The record is from RNAcentral.
UACGGAGGAUCCAAGCGUUAUCCGGAUUUAUUGGGUUUAAAGGGUGCGUAGGCGGACUGUCAAGUCAGCGGUGAAAGUUUGCGGCUUAACCGUAAAAUUGCCGUUGAAACUGGCAGUCUUGAGUGUAGAUGAGGUGGGUGGAAUUCGUAGUGUAGCGGUGAAAUGCUUAGAUAUUACGAAGAACUCCGAUUGCGUAGGCAGCUCACUGGGCUACAACUGACGCUGAGGCACGAAGGUGCGGGGAUCAAACAGG